Molecule: long non-coding RNA, 1051 nt
Filed under: Homo sapiens (human)
Lineage: Eukaryota; Metazoa; Chordata; Mammalia; Primates; Hominidae
Description: HSALNT0246907
Source: RNAcentral
UCCUACUUAUACUUCUCCCUAAUACUGGGACACACAAAUCCCCUCUUGAAGCUUAGGGCUACAAUUUUCUUCAUCGUCUGAUAAUCCUCAGUUUAUAUUUUCUCUAGUUAUUUUUGUUAACUGGAAACAAAGCCUGUUAACACUAACAUGUGUUAGUCCAUUAGUGAAAGUUUUCACAUAUUUAUUCAGUUAGUUUGAGCUGAUAAAGACAACUUUGGAAAUUUUUCCUUUGUUCCUGAAAAUAACAAAUAUGAAGAACCCCCACUUGCUGGUUUCUACAAUAGAUUCCGGCACUUUUAAAAUUGAACAUAAAGUGUUUUCCAUUGAGGCUCUACACUGGAAAGCAAAUUAUUUGAUGAGCAUGUGUUUCUUAAAGCAAACAAAUGAUGUGACAGUGCUAACUAGCCUGUACAUAUUUUUCCUUAGUGCGUGUUAAUCAAUUUGCCUACUGGAUAUAUAAAAUAUAUGUGAUGGUUAAUACUGAGUGUCAACUUGGAUUAGAUUGAAGGAUGCAAAUUAUUGAUCCUGGAUGUGUCUGUGAGGGUGUUGCCAAAGAAGAUUAACAUUUGAGUCAGUGGACUGGGACAGGCAGACCCACCUACCAGCUGGGUGGGCACCUUCUAUUCAGCUGCCAGCAAAUAUAAAGCAGGCAGAAAAACUUGAAAAGGCUAGACUGGCUUAGCCUCCCAGCCUACAUCUUUCUCCCAUUCUAGAUGCUUCCUGUCCUUGAACAUCAGACUUCAAGUUCUUCAGUUUUGGGACUUGGACUGGCCCCUUGCUCCUCAGCUUCCCAAUGGCCUACUGUGGGACCUUGUGAUCAUAAGCUGACAAACGGUUUAUAUCAGAAGGUGGAAUCGUGGGUAUGGUCGAUGUGGCAGGUCCUAAACAUAAAUUGGAUUUCUUUUUUAUUUUCAUUUAUUAAAUACAGAAGAAAUAUUUCGCUGAAGACACAGGAAACCCUAUUUUGUAUAAACGAGGGAUUGCAAGAGAUUGUUGGAAGAUCAAAGAUGGGUGAAUUGGAGGGGAAACGGGAAGGCUGGAACCAUGUCCA